Molecule: non-coding RNA, 237 nt
Filed under: Clostridium chauvoei
Lineage: Bacteria; Bacillati; Bacillota; Clostridia; Eubacteriales; Clostridiaceae
Description: T-box sequence
Rfam family: T-box leader
About the family: Uncharged tRNA acts as the effector for transcription antitermination of genes in the T-box leader family. T-boxes are found upstream of many aminoacyl-tRNA synthetase genes and some amino acid biosynthetic genes usually in Gram-positive bacteria.
Source: RNAcentral
AUAAAUGCAAUGAAAAGAAGAGUAGCAGAGGGGAAAGUCCAAAGAGAGCUAGGGUAGCUGAAAACUAGCGGCAAUAAGCUUUGUGAAGAUGGUCUUAGAGCAUAUCUUUUGAGCUAAUUUUGUUAGAGAGAUACGGUAGCAACCGUUAUAUUGCAAGGUGAUGAUAGUCACCUAAUAAGGUAUUUAUUGUGAAAUAAAUACAAAGUAGAGUGGUAACGCGUAUAUUACGUCUCUAUA